Molecule: long non-coding RNA, 1193 nt
Filed under: Ursus maritimus (polar bear)
Lineage: Eukaryota; Metazoa; Chordata; Mammalia; Carnivora; Ursidae
Description: lncRNA (ENSUMAG00000000161.1)
Source: RNAcentral
CUGCCUUUUAAAGGGAAGGCUUUACUGGAAUUUGAGCCAGAACUGGAGCGACGCUAGUCCAAAGAAUCCUGGGGGAUCUUGAUUAAAAGGCAGAUACCUGGGCCCACCCCCAACACAGACCUCCUGUGAAGACACUCUUCUGGAGUCACCCUCUCAAUACAGAGCUGAGCAAAGGGAGUCACAGAGAGGGCAAGUGACUUGGCAUGGGCACACAGCAUGUUAGAGCGGAGGCUGAGCGAGAACUCGGGUCACCUUCAGGGUGGAGUAUAUGGCCCACUGAACCUCGCUGCCUCUUCUGAGCCUCCGGGGUGGGGGGGCCCUCCUCUCUUCCAGCCCCUUCCUCACCAUCUUCCACCUCCUUUCUGGUGACCGCAGCUGGGCCCUGGCAUUUUUAGCUAAAGCUGAAAUGGAGCCUCAGGGGACUAGAAAUCAUGCAAAAGAGAGAAAAGUGGGGGAACGGGCACGGAAGCCAGGGGAAUGAAAAUCUCUCAGGUGGGAAGGGGAGUCAGGAACCAGAAGCCACCCCAUGAUAUCCAAGCAGCUGGGGCGGGGCUUCUCCUGGGACCUGCCCACGCGUGCCACCACUGGGGCCUCUGACUGGGGAGGGCUCCGAUGGCAGCCCAGGAAACCACAAACCCUUGCAGGCCCUAAAAGAGCCUGCCUCUAACCUCCCUCUGCAACAGCUCCGUGCUUCAGAUCCAAGUGCAGCCGGAGGCCGGGGUGCUGGUUAGUUAGUUGCUUAGUUCAAGCUUCUGGCUCCUGGACCCGGAUUUCUGCUGACAGCCCCAGGCCAGCUGGUGGGACCGGAUCUGGGGUGUGGACCAGGGGCGGACCGCUGCCCAGACCUGCCUCUCACGCCUGCUGCAAGGGGCACUGGGACCCUGCUGGGCGCAGCCUCCAGUCUUCCACCCGGUGAGCAGCCACUCUGGUCUGGAACCUCCAGGUCUCAGGCCCCCCCACCACUCCCCCACUCCAGCUGGACCCAGACUCCUCCCAGGCGGUGGGUGGAGAGGCCUUGGGUCUUGGGCCCGGCUCCCCCGACACCUGCUCAUGGACCUGGAAGGCCCUCCUGAGCUUAGCUGAGUGGCUGAGCAGCUAAUUCCCACCUGGGUGAGAAUGACGGGCUCACAGGGUCCUUACAUUUUAAAAGUAAUAGAGCCUGGAGUCAGAGCUGUGCUGCUAAUGCCUGGCGG